RNAcentral lists this ribosomal RNA (464 nucleotides) under Chalcostephia flavifrons. RNAcentral describes it as "partial 16S ribosomal RNA". It matches the Rfam family "Archaeal large subunit ribosomal RNA", at positions 2009 to 2678 of the family's 2987-position model. Lineage: Eukaryota; Metazoa; Arthropoda; Insecta; Odonata; Libellulidae. The record is from RNAcentral.
CGCGGUAUACUGACCGUGCAAAGGUAGCAUAAUCAUUAGUCUUUUAAUAGGAGGCUGGAAUGAAAGGUUUGACGAGGAAUUAACUGUCUCAUUUUAUUUGUUUUAAAAUUUAAUUUUUUAGUUAAAAAGCUUAAAUUUUAUUGGAAGACGAGAAGACCCUAUAGAUCUUUAUAAAAAUUUUUUUAAUUAUUUAUAUAUUAAUGUAAUUAAUUUUAUUUUUAUUUUGUUGGGGUGACAAAAAUAUAUAAACAACUUUUUUAUUUAUUUAACAUUAAUUUAUGGUUAUAUGAUCCGUUUAUUGCGAUUGCUAGAGUAAGUUACCUUAGGGAUAACAGCGUAAUCCUCCUUCAGAGUUCAUAUUUACAGGAUGGGCUUGCGACCUCGAUGUUGGAUUAAGAUAAUAGUUAGGUGUAGCCGCUUAAUGUAUAGGUCUGUUCGACCUUUAAAUUCUUACAUGAUCUGAG